AAUCGUCCAAGGCCAUAGAGAAACUACUGCAUUCAUUUCGGCCGGCUGAAUUAGGUUCAGGAUAUUGAUAUAUAUAAAUCCCUUUUGUACAUUGAUUGCUUGGGUGUUCAUUUGUUUCUGAUAUAUAUGUUUCAGUGUUUGAUUUAUGUUUUGAUGUGUCCAAACGAUCAACGAUGAGAGCGUCGCAGUGAAACAAUCAAUAAGAACUUUAAUAAAUAUUUGGCUUUGUGCGCACGUUAAACUUUGGACUCUAAAUUCUGCCAUAGAAUCGGAAUUGCGCGAUCGGAGGGUAGAGGGCAGGGUCAUCGCAACAAGCUUCGCUUAGCGGUGGCUCUGUCCUUGUGAAUCCUUCCCAUCAAAAGGUUCGGACUAAAUUUAUAAAAAAAAAAAAAAUAAGCUGCUGCCCAAGGUUUGGCCUUGGUUGAGUUUCAGUUUGGUUAGAAGGCAUAGCGCCUCUCCUUAGUUCAAGUUGCAAAAACGAGUGCGACGACUGCUAGUUCUGACUACUGAAAUCUGCUGAAAGGAAGACUGGAGGGCCUUUAGCAGCAGUAGCAGUGGAACUUGGAAGGCUGCCUUGAGGCUGCCUGGCUGGCCUCUACAACAGAGACGAAGUUUAGAAGUUAUUUGUCAACAAUGUUGUCCAUAUUGCAAGAGGUGGCUAACGAGCACCAACCAGCGUGUGCAGCAGCCGUUCCGUUGUAAACGGUGCGCUGACCGCGGAGCCGGGGGUUGUCGACCGCCGGCUGGCACUCACCACCGUCCACCCCAAGCUGGCCAUCAUCGACUGGCUCGAGCACACCAGCACGCUGAACCAGUUCAUCAGCUCGACGUGCCCCGACUUCGAGCAGUAGUGCGCCGAGACGCGCGAGCUGUUCAGUGGGAGCAGAUGAAGCGACAUGGGACUCAGAGCGGCGCCACUGACGUGCAGCUGCAGCUGAUCGGAAUCGACAGGACACGUGUUCGCGGCUCGGCCACCACUCAUCAGCCUGCUGCUCGUGCCGUUCCGUCUGACGGCGCAGAUGACCGGCCUGGCGGCGUCUCUCGACGCGUCCGGCCACACCCGGCUGCAGGCGCUGCGCUCGUCGCUUUGGGUUGUAAAUGCCGGUGAGCAGUGAGGGUUGCCUCGCUGAGUCGUGUGGGCGCUCGUCACUGUAGAGGUCGCUGUGAGCGCUGUGCUCCUCUUCGACCAGAGGAUAGGUGGCGGUAGCGGUCGGUACGCAGUCAGCAGCGUACUGACACGUCAUAUACCGAUUGAAGGUCUUCAGUGCGUUAUGAAUAUGGCGCGGGUAGCUCGAUUCCGGCGGCGGCGUGACACGGUGACCCCGUGACCUCUAGCCGUGUCGGUCCGUGUGCGCGGCCCAUUCGCCCCCGACUUGGGUUGUCGAUGGCGGCUGCCGGUGCCCUUAAAAUCGUACGUGUUUUAAACAAAUUAAAGGCAAGUGAUAGUGAUAUCAAAAAGGUAUAAUUUAUUUUCCUAAUGAUUUUAUUGCGUGCUUUGACUGAGUGUCUUGAUUUACGUUUGUUUGCUUUCAAAUUUACGAUAAUACAACAGCACAGGGUCAAAAGGCGGUUAAGACGUAGAACAGUAGCUGUUACAUUGAGGCUUUGUACGCGAGCCGGCCGGCCGAGUGAUAACUGUGCGCGCGCGCCGUAUAAGAGAUACUGAUUCGGAGAUACUGAUUUCCAAGAUCGUCGAGCGCCAAGUUCUGCGAUGGCAAUAUCUCCUGAAUAUAGUGAACACUGAACACAGCGACAGAUAACAACGCCUUGACAAUUGUUUUCGUCGUAAUACGUGCUACUCAAAGAAUGCCACGAAGGUGUGUCGUUGCUUUAUUUGCUAGUCCGCACAUCUGAGAUCGUUUGAGACAAGUGUUUGAAGUUUAACCGGAAUCGCUCUGAUAGCUGCGAUGCAAAUUCCAACAGCUGUUAUUCUACUAAUGAAUAGGUAAUUAUGCUAUUGCUGGCCAUGAAUUGUGAAUAAAUCACAAAUUUUGUAAAAGCAA
Molecule: long non-coding RNA, 2003 nt
Organism: Amphibalanus amphitrite
Lineage: Eukaryota; Metazoa; Arthropoda; Thecostraca; Balanomorpha; Balanidae
Exons: 3
Source: RefSeq, a predicted model, not a curated record